AAAAAAAAAAAAAUCACAAAUAGUCUCACAAAAUUUAUAUUUAUAAGAUUAGCCAUAUCCCCGCCACGCAAGCGCCACCACGCGAGCGCCAUGUGAGCAUGUUGGGAGGUAAGGUUAAGUUGAAUACGGUAAACCAUUCACCAUAUUGGACACGGUGAAUAAUUUAUCGUAUUCAAUAUAUUUACACGCACUCAUACACACUUAUAUAUCUAUAUAAUACAUUUAAACAUGGUGAAUCAUUCAUCGUGUCCAAACACAGUAUAUGAUUUACCAUGUUCAACUUAACUUACACACACAACACGCUCAUGUGGCGCCCGCAUGGUGCUUGCAUAGCAAGAAUAAGACUAAUCUUGUAAAUAUAAAUUUUGUAGGACUAUUUGUGAUUUUUUUUAGGGGAAUAAAUGCAAAAAAAAAAAACACACACACACACUAAAACAUUUU
This 441-nucleotide long non-coding RNA is filed under the name Ananas comosus (pineapple). RNAcentral describes it as "long non-coding RNA (ACOM_LNC014389)". The record is from RNAcentral. Lineage: Eukaryota; Viridiplantae; Streptophyta; Magnoliopsida; Poales; Bromeliaceae.